GACGAACGCUGGCGGCGUGCUUAACACAUGCAAGUCGAACGGAUAGGCUCCAGUUUUCUGGUGUGCAUGAGUGGCGAACGGGUGAGUAACACGUGAGUAACCUGCCCUAGACUUUGGGAUAAGCUCAGGAAACUGCGUCUAAUACCGGAUACGAGCUCCUGCUGCAUGGUUUUGGUCUGGAAGUUUCUUCGGUUGGGGAUGGGCUCGCGGCUUAUCAGCUUGUUGGUGUGGUAGUGGCUUACCAAGGCGUUGACGGGUAGCCGGCCUGAGAGGGUGACCGGCCACAGUGGGACUGAGAUACGGCCCAGACUCCUACGGGAGGCAGCAGUGGGGAAUAUUGCACAAUGGGCGAAAGCCUGAUGCAGCAACGCCGCGUGAGGGAUGACGGCCUUAGGGUUGUAAACCGCUUUCGGCAGGGAAGAAGCGUGAGUGACGGUAAUGGGUAAAGAAGCACCGGCUAACUACGUG
Molecule: ribosomal RNA, 468 nt
Filed under: uncultured bacterium
Lineage: Bacteria
Description: partial 16S ribosomal RNA
Rfam family: Bacterial small subunit ribosomal RNA
Source: RNAcentral